Molecule: long non-coding RNA, 993 nt
Organism: Fukomys damarensis (Damara mole-rat)
Lineage: Eukaryota; Metazoa; Chordata; Mammalia; Rodentia; Bathyergidae
Exons: 3
Source: RefSeq, a predicted model, not a curated record
CCCCCCCCCCCCCGCUUCUGAUCCGCCCUCUCCUGCGGUGCGAGUCCGCCUUUCGCGGCCCCUUUCGGUAUCUUGUUUUGUCUCCACCGCCGAUAUCCGAGAUCGUGGAGGCCUGUGCCUGUGCCCGCGCCGGCAGGCGCUCGGCAGGUGCUAAGGUCCGUGGAGCGCGUGAACCACCACGGCCUGGGCAUAGCGCUCGUCGUGAAGCACCUGGGUUCAAUCUCCAGUACGACCACCAAGCAACAAACCGAGACUGACCCUGUCGUAAUCACACUCCCAGGCAGGGUGGAAAGCCUGAAAAUGAAUGGUUCCUGGUGAGCAAGGAGCGGGAGUGGAGAUCAGCCUUUCCCCAUUCCUGCGGCUAGGCCGAGCCCGGUCUCCUCAGGUCUCCUGUAAAUCACUCAGCAACCCCAGUGAGGGUCGCGCAGCUAAAAUGAAUCACGGCCAGGAUUUAAACCCAAGCAGCCCUCUUAACUCCCUGGCGUCUCAUGGCUGAAAACUAGAAUGGGGAUGAUGGAUGAUGACGUAACAGGAGUAAGCGGGACAGCAGUUAGGGUUGUGUCGGGCCAUAAGAACUGUGGGCCUACAACGGAUCGGGAAGCCCCACACAGUCUGCUGAGUCACAGCCGGCCAGGAAUCUUGCAGGAAAUCUGUCGGGUGUCCUUGGGCUGUUCGGGACGCCCACCGGAGCGUGGUCCGGCAGGCCGGGGGCUCAAGGGCACACGGGCCCCGCGUGGACACCGCGUAGACUGCAUCCUAAAAACUGUGCCGCCUCCCCCACAGGAUGGGGAUUGUAUCGCUCACACAAUGGCCGCGCUCUCUUCUAAAUCCCUUCAAAACCCCUACACGAAGAGCCCUGGUGGGUAUCCUACUCAGAACCCCCUCCUGGCUAACGGGAGCUUCCUUGCCUUUAUUCUGUUUUCUUUCCUGCCUUCCCAUCUCUUAAAUAAAAAUUCUCACACCCUCCCUCCUCCGUUGUCAGUUUCAUUCUCU